Solea solea (common sole) is the source of this 4483-nucleotide RNA transcript. It is a transcript of the gene named gastrula zinc finger protein XlCGF26.1-like, with no coding region annotated. The record is from RefSeq and is a predicted model, not a curated record. The transcript is spliced from 4 exons. NCBI's taxonomy places the organism in Eukaryota, Metazoa, Chordata, Actinopteri, Pleuronectiformes, Soleidae.
CAAGAAUUUACUUAACUUAAUAUUUUACAAUUUAAAAACAUCAGUGUGUUGGUUACUCCUCAGAACUUCAUUAGUGACUGUGGUGGACCAGAACCAGUGGGAAAAUCUUCUUCAUCCAACUGAAUACUAGCAGUGUAGGAAAAGUUCAGUCAGUUUUGUUAUACGGAAAAGUGCAAUAAAAUUGUGUUCAUUGAUCGCAUAGCUGAACAAGGGCCCUCAUUUAUUUGGUUUGGGUUUUCAACAUUAAAUCCACAGCAGCACAAACACCACAAGGCCGUGAUGACUUUGCCAUGAAGCAGGAUUUAGUUAGCUUGCUUAGUGUCCUAAAACUAAAACUGCUUUUUUUUUCAAAGUGUUUUUUACAACAAUGCAAGUAAUACAAAUCGCCAAUUUCUACUAAAAUGGACACAUGUAUUAUGUUGUAUUUUCCUAUAGAAUUUAAAUCUUUUUUCCUAAACUUUGAGCAUUAUAUACCUUUUAUUUGGUUUUAUUUUGAAAACAGGAUGUUGCAAAACCAUGCAUUUCCGUCCUCAGUCCUCCAGUCCAGCAGAGGUCGCUGUUUGCUCUCCUGUAAGUGACUGGUGGUCGAUGCGGAACUCGGGUGUCUCUGUUUACUUUCCGCUGUGUCUCCUUUUGUGUCGCUCCGAGAUUCUAAAGAGCGCAGAAAAGCGGUAAAAAUGUUCGCCGUGUAGCUGCGGCAGGUGUCGGCACAUGAGCGGACCAACUCUGUGGCGGAGGACUCUCUGUUUCCGGCGGAGAAAGAAGGAAGACGGCGGUUAAAAUGGUCGGUGUGUUGGAGGAAACGCAGCGGUCAGAGCAGCGGAGCUGCCGCCAGAAGAAGCUGCUCGAGGCUGCAGCCGUAAAGACCGAAGUCCGGCUGAACACAGCAGACGAGGAGCAGCAGCAGCUGCUGGUGAUAAAAGAAGAGUUUCCCGCCGAGCAGCAGUGGAUCUACAGUGUGGACCAGGAGGAGCCGAAGCUUCCCCACAUUAAAGAGGAGGAGGAGGAAGUGUGCAUCAAACAGGAGGAGCACGAGUUCACUCCUGUAAAUGUGAAGACGGAGGAAGACGAAGAGACACCCGAGUCCUCACAGCUUCAUCAGCGUCGCACUGAGGAGAACAGAGAGGACUGUGGAGAACCGGAAUCAGCCGGGAACCCGGAUCCAGAUGCACAUUUAGGACCAGUCACAGAGGCGGACUCUGAAGACUUUUCCGAGACUGACGACAGCGAGGAUGAAUGGAAAGAUAGCAGUGAACUACCAAGUCCAAAACCAGCCAAGAAAACCGUCUCCACUGAUGACAAACUAAAAUGUUCUGAAUGUGGGAAAAUAUCAGUCUCCAAGUCACAUUUGCUGAGACACAAAAAAAUCCACACGGGAGAGAAACCGUUCAGUUGCUUUGAGUGUGGUAAAAGAUUUAUCCAGCAGAGCGAUCUGAAGAAACACAAGAGAAUUCACACGGGAGAGAAACCGUUCAGCUGCUCCGAGUGUGGCAAAAAGUUUAACACAAAAUGGAACCUGCAGCUCCACGCAAAAGUUCAUACGAGAGAGAAACCGUUCACCUGCUCCGUGUGCGGGAAAAAGUUUACGGACAAGAGCUACAUGAAGAAGCAUGAGAAAUAUCACACGGCUGAUAAACAGUUUAGUUGCUCCGUUUGUGGUAAAGGUUUUGUCCAAGUGGGGGAUCUGAGGAGGCACGAGAAAAUUCACGCAGGGGUUAAACAGUUCAGUUGCUCCAAGUGUGACAAACAGUUCAUCAGUAAGGAUUAUCUGAAGAAACAUGAGAAAUGUCACACCAUAGACAAACCGCUGAGCUGCUCCGUGUGCGGGAAAACGUUUGUCUAUCAGUGGAAUCUGAAGAAACACGAGAAAAUUCACACGGGAGAGAAACCGUUCAGCUGCUCCGAGUGCGGUCAGGGCUUCAUCCAGCAGUGUGACCUGAGGAAACACGAGAGGAUCCACACGGGAGAGAAGCCGUUCACUUGCUCCGAGUGCGGCAAGAGGUUUCGCACAAACUCGAUGCUGCGGCUGCACGAGAAAAUUCACACGGGGGAGAAACCGUACAGUUGCUCCGUGUGCGGCAAAGGGUUUGUUCAAAAGGGACAGUUGAAGACGCACGAAAGGACUCACACGGGGGAAAAACCAUACAGUUGCCCAUUCUGCGGGAAAAAGUUUACAGGCAAAAGAAGCCAGACGUUUCACAUUUCAGUCCACAUAAGAGGGAAACUAUAAAGCAAACAAAGUAUUUACUUUCUGUGUCUUAAAUCUAAAAAAGACAACAGAUUGAGAAGAACCAGUGGGGAACUCAGAAACUGAAAAAUACAGCUGUGUGUUAUCUGGGGCUGCGACCGUGUCUUAUAAUCCUGUUCAGUAACUGCAAUGCACUACAGGAAGUGCUGGGGGCAGUAGUUCCAUUUCUACCAUUGUAUUCACCAACUGCUUUCUCAACCGAGGAAAAAAAUGGGGUUUAUAUCACAACGACAUUAACAAUGACCGGCAAAAUAUGGAUUUAAACAGGGUUCCCACGGGUCCUUGAAAAACUUGAAAGUUUGUGAAUUUGAAAAUAAAAUUCAAGACCCUUGAAAGUUUUUGAAAUUGCCCUAAAUAGACAUGUGGUCAUUAAAAGUGCUUACAUUUUGUGCAAGAAAGAAGUUAAAUUGAUAUUUAGGUAAAUGUUUACCUACGCCACCUACUGUUUCAUGCCUUGCAUUGCUUGAUGUACGUAAACUAGGCCAACGCAGGAAAAACGUUGAGUCAUAAUUACCACCGGUGUGUGAGAUUCCGUGCAGAACAACGAGCCAAGUAACGUCAAAACAAGAGAGAGCAAAUGACGACGUGAUGCCUGGGAAAAGAAAAUUCCAAGAUCUCUGUCUCACCUAAGAAAGUUGCAAAGACUGACUUUGGCCAAGAUCCCAACAAUCACAACACUUGUCCAGAUGCAGAGUGUGCUGCAAAUCAAAAAAGUGGACGCCCUACAAGCUGCCCUCCCAUUCUGUCCUUGAAUUUGAGGGAAUUGGUCCUGGAAAGUCUUUGAAUAGUGCUUGAAUUUGAUGUCAAUCAAGGUGUGGGAACCCUGUUUAAAAGGUAUUUAAUUGAAUAUGAAAUGCUUCCCCGUAUUAAAAUUCAAUUAGCUUACAUGGCGUUUGAACUGUGAACAUGAUAAUGUUGUUGGCAAAGUACUCAAAAUAAAUUAUUUUUUAUUUAUUUCCACUCGUUCAGUAGCUCAUCUGGGAUAUAACCCACUAAUUUUAAAGACACUAUUAAACUACCAAACAAUGAAGAUAGCAAGGCUUGGAUUUUAAGCUAACGCUAAAGCUUAGUCAUGCUAGUACUCCCUUUUUAUAUCAGCCUACAAAUAUUCUUAGUGGACAUAAAUGAGAUUGACACUGGGAGUGGAGCUGCGUUUGUUCAGUGUGAAGCUGAUUUGUCGUUAAAACCAACUACUAGCCAGCUACUAGCCAGCUACUAGCCAUGGUUCAUGUGUUUUGAGCUAACACUGACGUUUUACACCACUUUAGCCCUGGAACGGUUUCUACUGCCAGUCUCCUCGACUACAGCCUUUAAACGAAAAGCAAGAAAGGUCACACUGUCGCCUUCUCUCCACAUAUAUUUAAUAUUAAGUUAGAAAACUAUUCCAUUGUGUCUCUGUGGAGUUGGACAUUUGUAAAAUGAAAAUGGUUAGUGAAAAAUCGUGACUAAUCGAACAAUUUAAAGUUGUCCACCAAAAUCAUCGUUAGUUGCAGCCCUGGUGUCUUUCAUCUGUGUAGAAAUCCAAAAUAUGCUACUAAGUUCAUUUUAAAUGUGAAAAAUGAAACGGCAGCAGCACAGAAGAGGCUACAGCGCCACCACAUGGUCAUUGAUGAAACUUUUCUCGGAGAAACCAGACCUUUGCAGAACUGGUCAGUCUUCGGUCAACACUCGGUAGACUGUUGCCUAAAAUUGAGAGUUGUGUCUCCAAUUGAUGAAUUAAAAUGUUAUUAAUAAUCCCCAAACACAAAAAAACCAGUUUGUCCUUUCAUUCUUUGUGUCUGUGUCCAAACACUGUGACCUUAGUUGUUACUGUAACGAAGGCGCUGUGAUUACUGUUUUGCCUCGACAGCUUCAGCAUCAUGGUAAAUCACCAUGGUAACUCAUGCUGAAACCCGAACCUGCUCCAAAACACGUCAGGUUUUCAAGGGAAUUGCCUGAAUUUAAAACUUAUGACUUUCAAAAAAGUCUGAAUGUACAAAUGUCCCCCAUGCACCCCAAGUGAAAUAAAGCAUGGAGCGCCGACUCACACAGGAAUCCCCGGAGAGGAGGAAACUCAACACACCUCCUUAAUCUGCCCAUUGAUCUGUCUACUGCGCUAUAACAAGGAAGAGGAGCCUGCACUCCACAGGUCAGUAAACACAACAUAUGUAAGAAUGUUUGUGUUGAUAAGUGAGGUUAUAUAAAUACGAGCGCUUAGUUUAAGCUUGUGAUCGUUGAAGCGUUUAAAAGACUGAA